CUAAACCCAUCUUAGAAGCAUCACAAUACACCACAAAUGACUCACUCGGAUUCAAAAAAACCAAAACUGGAGCAGACGCCAACUUCUUCUUGAGUUCUUGAAGACUCUCUUCGUAAUACACAUCUCAAACACAGACUUAACCUUUUUGAGUCAACUGAGUCAACGAAAAAGAUUACUUCUAAAAUCUUUCAACAAUCUUCCUAUAG
This 206-nucleotide long non-coding RNA is filed under the name Lathyrus oleraceus (garden pea). Its description in RNAcentral is "Pisum sativum (pea) long non-coding RNA (PSAT_LNC013546)". Lineage: Eukaryota; Viridiplantae; Streptophyta; Magnoliopsida; Fabales; Fabaceae. The record is from RNAcentral.